UACGUAGGUGGCGAGCGUUGUCCGGAUUUACUGGGCGUAAAGCGCGCGUAGGCGGCGCCUCAAGUCCUUGUGUGAAAGGUCGCGGCCCAACUGCGACACGGCACAGGAUACUGGGGUGCUUGAGGGCAGCAGAGGCCAGUGGAAUUCCCGGUGGAGUGGUGAAAUGCGUAGAUAUCGGGAGGAACACCAGAGGCGAAGGCGGCUGGCUGGGCUGUACCUGACGCUGAGGCGCGAAAGCGUGGGGAGCGAACCGGAUUAGAUACCCGGGUAGUCCACGCCCUAAACGGUGGCAACUAGGUGUGGGGGGUAUCGACCCCCUCCGUGCCGCAGCUAACGCGUUAAGUUGCCCGCCUGGGGACUACGGCCGCAAGGUUAAA
This 377-nucleotide ribosomal RNA is filed under the name uncultured bacterium. Its description in RNAcentral is "bacterial SSU rRNA". It matches the Rfam family "Bacterial small subunit ribosomal RNA", at positions 524 to 898 of the family's 1533-position model. The record is from RNAcentral.